AGGAGUGGCUGUGGCCAAUUCUCAAUACACAAUACCACAGAUGUAGUAACAAAUGAUGAGUAUGCUCUUGAUUGAGUUGCAGCUCUGUCAUGCC
Molecule: long non-coding RNA, 94 nt
Organism: Octopus sinensis (East Asian common octopus)
Lineage: Eukaryota; Metazoa; Mollusca; Cephalopoda; Octopoda; Octopodidae
Exons: 3
Source: RefSeq, a predicted model, not a curated record